RNAcentral lists this ribosomal RNA (496 nucleotides) under uncultured bacterium. RNAcentral describes it as "bacterial SSU rRNA". It matches the Rfam family "Bacterial small subunit ribosomal RNA", at positions 28 to 515 of the family's 1533-position model. The record is from RNAcentral.
GACGAACGCUGGCGGCGUGGAUUAGGCAUGCAAGUCGAACGGUAGGAUACCUUCGGGUAUCUGAGAGUGGCGAACGGGUGAGUAACACGUAGGUGAUCUACCCUCAAGAUUGGGACAACCCAGGGAAACUUGGGCUAAUACCGGAUGAAAGCAGCAGUGAUGUUGUUUGAAAGGUGGCGUAAGCUGCCGUUUGGGGAUGAGCCUGCGCUCUAUUAGUUAGUUGGCGGGGUAAAGGCCCACCAAGGCGAUGAUAGAUAGGCGGCCUUAACGGGUGGUCGCCCACACUGGGAUUGAGAUACGGCCCAGACUCCUACGGGAGGCAGCAGUCGAGAAUAGUCUACAAUGGCCGAAAGGCUGAUAGUGCGACGCCGCGUGAACGAAGAAGCCCUUCGGGGUGUAAAGUUCUUUUAUAUGUGAGCAGUGCUUUCUAAUGUGAACAGCAUGGGGAAGAGAUAUUAGCAUAUGAAUAAGCAACGGCUAACUCCGUGCCAGCACG